AUAGCACAUUGAAACACCUAUUCUUGUCCGAUCACCGAAGAUAAGCAACGUUGAACCUGGUCAGCAUCUAGAUGGGUGACCGCUUGUGAAUACCAGGUGGUGUAAG
Molecule: non-coding RNA, 106 nt
Organism: Acanthosepion pharaonis
Lineage: Eukaryota; Metazoa; Mollusca; Cephalopoda; Sepiida; Sepiidae
Source: the annotation of a GenBank genome assembly